This 1447-nucleotide ribosomal RNA is filed under the name uncultured Vibrio sp. RNAcentral describes it as "16S ribosomal RNA". It matches the Rfam family "Bacterial small subunit ribosomal RNA". The record is from RNAcentral. Lineage: Bacteria; Pseudomonadati; Pseudomonadota; Gammaproteobacteria; Vibrionales; Vibrionaceae.
AGAGUUUGAUCCUGGCUCAGAUUGAACGCUGGCGGCAGGCUUAACACAUGCAAGUCGAGCGGUAACAGGGGUAGCUUGCUACCCGCUGACGAGCGGCGGACGGGUGAGUAAUGCUUGGGAAGCUGCCCGAUAGAGGGGGAUAACAGUUGGAAACGACUGCUAAUACCGCAUAACCUCUUCGGAGCAAAGCGGGGGACCUUCGGGCCUCGCGCUAUCGGAUGCGCCCAAGUGGGAUUAGCUAGUUGGUGAGGUAAUGGCUCACCAAGGCGACGAUCCCUAGCUGGUCUGAGAGGAUGAUCAGCCACACUGGGACUGAGACACGGCCCAGACUCCUACGGGAGGCAGCAGUGGGGAAUAUUGCACAAUGGGCGAAAGCCUGAUGCAGCCAUGCCGCGUGUGUGAAGAAGGCCUUCGGGUUGUAAAGCACUUUCAGCGAGGAGGAAAGGGUGAGUCUUAAUACGGCUCAUCUGUGACGUUACUCGCAGAAGAAGCACCGGCUAACUCCGUGCCAGCAGCCGCGGUUAAUACGGAGGUGCGAGCGUUAAUCGGAAUUACUGGGCGUAAAGCGCAUGCAGGCGGCUGAUUAAGCCAGAUGUGAAAGCCCGGGCUUAACCUCGGAAUUGCAUUUGAACUGGUCAGCUAGAGUCUGAAAGGUGGUAAAUUCAGGGUUAUUCGGUACGUAAUCGUAGAUUGAGAUCCGGGGAAGCGCCCUGCAAUAAUGACGUAAUGGAAGCUGGGGCAACAGAUUAAUCCCUGUUUCACGCGUAACGAGUCUACUGAUUGUUUGAACAUGGCUCCAAGCUACGCAUAAGUAGACCCCUGGGGAGUACGCCGCAGGUUAAACUCAAAUGAAUUGACGGGGGCCCGCACAAGCGGUGGAGCAUGUGGUUUAAUUCGAUGCAACGCGAAGAACCUUACCUACUCUUGACAUCCAGUGAUUUGGCAGAGAUGCCUUAGUGCCUUCGGGAACACUGAGACAGGUGCUGCAUGGCUGUCGUCAGCUCGUGUUGUGAAAUGUUGGGUUAAGUCCCGCAACGAGCGCAACCCCUAUCCUUAGUUGCCAGCACGUUAUGGUGGGAACUCUAGGGAGACUGCCGGUGAUAAACCGGAGGAAGGUGGGGACGACGUCAAGUCAUCAUGGCCCUUACGAGUAGGGCUACACACGUGCUACAAUGGCGCAUACAAAGGGCGGCUAACCAGCAAUGGUACGCGAAUCCCAUAAAGUGCGUCGUAGUCCGGAUUGGGGUCUGCAACUCGACCCCAUGAAGUCGGAAUCGCUAGUAAUCGUGGAUCAGAAUGCCACGGUGAAUACGUUCCCGGGCCUUGUACACACCGCCCGUCACACCAUGGGAGUGGGCUGCAAAAGAAGUGGGUAGUUUAACCUUCGGGAGGACGCUCACCACUUUGUGGUUCAUGACUGGGGUGAAGUCGUAACAAGGUAGCCGUA